GUCCACGCUGUAAACGAUGGGCACUAGGUGUCGCGGGUAUUGACCCCUGCGGUGCCGCAGCUAACGCAUUAAGUGCCCCGCCUGGGGACUACGGCCGCAAGGUUAAAACUCAAAGGAAUUGACGGGGCCCGCACAAGCGGUGGAGCAUGUGGUUCAAUUCGACGCAACGCGAAGAACCUUACCCGGGCUAGACAACAGAGGACAUCCUUAGAAAUAAGGUCUUCCCUUCGGGGGACCUCUGGUUCAGGUGCUGCAUGGCUGUCGU
RNAcentral lists this ribosomal RNA (265 nucleotides) under uncultured bacterium. RNAcentral describes it as "partial 16S ribosomal RNA". It matches the Rfam family "Bacterial small subunit ribosomal RNA", at positions 793 to 1055 of the family's 1533-position model. The record is from RNAcentral.